UAAGACAGAGGGUGCGAGCGUUGUUCGGAAUUACUGGGCGUAAAGGGCGCGUAGGCGGUCUGUUAAGUUCGGUGUGAAAGCCCUCGGCUCAACCGGGGAAGUGCGCCGGAUACUGACAGACUUGAGUACCGGAGAGGAGGGUGGAAUUCCUGGUGUAGCGGUGAAAUGCGUAGAUAUCAGGAGGAACACCGGUGGCGAAGGCGGCCCUCUGGACGAGUACUGACGCUGAGGCGCGAAAGCGUGGGGAUCAAACAGGAUUAGAUACCCUGGUAGUCCACGCUGUAAACGAUGGAGACUAGGUGUGGGGGGUAUUGACCCCUCCCGUGCCGACGCUAACGCAUUAAGUCUCCCGCCUGGGGAUUACGGCCGCAAGGUUA
Molecule: ribosomal RNA, 377 nt
Filed under: uncultured bacterium
Lineage: Bacteria
Description: bacterial SSU rRNA
Rfam family: Bacterial small subunit ribosomal RNA
Source: RNAcentral